UGGCGGCGUGCCUAAUACAUGCAAGUCGAGCGAACAGACGAGGAGCUUGCUCCUCUGACGUUAGCGGCGGACGGGUGAGUAACACGUGGAUAACCUACCUAUAAGACUGGGAUAACUUCGGGAAACCGGAGCUAAUACCGGAUAAUAUAUUGAACCGCAUGGUUCAAUAGUGAAAGACGGUUUUGCUGUCACUUAUAGAUGGAUCCGCGCCGCAUUAGCUAGUUGGUAAGGUAACGGCUUACCAAGGCAACGAUGCGUAGCCGACCUGAGAGGGUGAUCGGCCACACUGGAACUGAGACACGGUCCAGACUCCUACGGGAGGCAGCAGUAGGGAAUCUUCCGCAAUGGGCGAAAGCCUGACGGAGCAACGCCGCGUGAGUGAUGAAGGUCUUCGGAUCGUAAAACUCUGUUAUUAGGGAAGAACAAAUGUGUAAGUAACUAUGCACGUCUUGACGGUACCUAAUCAGAAAGCCACGGCUAACUACGUGCCAGCAGCCGCGGUAAUACGUAGGUGGCAAGCGUUAUCCGGAAUUAUUGGGCGUAAAGCGCGCGUAGGCGGUUUUUUAAGUCUGAUGUGAAAGCCCACGGCUCAACCGUGGAGGGUCAUUGGAAACUGGAAAACUUGAGUGCAGAAGAGGAAAGUGGAAUUCCAUGUGUAGCGGUGAAAUGCGCAGAGAUAUGGAGGAACACCAGUGGCGAAGGCGACUUUCUGGUCUGUAACUGACGCUGAUGUGCGAAAGCGUGGGG
Molecule: ribosomal RNA, 747 nt
Filed under: uncultured Staphylococcus sp.
Lineage: Bacteria; Bacillati; Bacillota; Bacilli; Caryophanales; Staphylococcaceae
Description: bacterial SSU rRNA
Rfam family: Bacterial small subunit ribosomal RNA
Source: RNAcentral